Molecule: long non-coding RNA, 636 nt
Organism: Oncorhynchus masou masou (cherry salmon)
Lineage: Eukaryota; Metazoa; Chordata; Actinopteri; Salmoniformes; Salmonidae
Exons: 3
Source: RefSeq, a predicted model, not a curated record
CCUCAGAGCGGUUGAGUAGGCUGUUUGGUGGUUUCAACCAGAUGGAUUUAGGACUGCGCCGGACACCACAGAGCGUGCAGAGACACGGUACAAACAGCUCGGCGUCACUGUCUUGGUGCACAGUCAGUACACUAUGCUCAUCAUGUCUUAGCAGGAUGAGAUGGUGACAGGUGUCCCUGCGGGAUCAGACAGCCAGAGAAGACCAGUCUGAAUUGCAGUAUAUUGGGACAAUCAGUGAAUGGAUAUAACGUUCUAUCUUGAGUUGAUGGGUAGACUACAGUCUGGGAUCUGGGAAUAAUGGAUCAGAUAGUGACCGGGGUCUCAUCAGGGUCAGGCAGCCAGAGAAGACUAGUCUGUGGUGGAGCUGAGGUGAACUUUUGUAGAUGCAAUACUUUAUUAUCUCUAUGCAGCGAACACUGGACAAGCAAGAAGCUGCAUGCUAUUUUAAGAGUCUGACAAAUCUCACGUUGAUUUCCAAACUGUAUCAAGGGUUGAUAGAGGCUUUUCCUGAUGACACACAACAAGUAAAACAAAAAUGUGAGGAAGACCUGGGAGACGCUACUAUUGAUGAUAAUGAAUGGAUCUAAGAUAUGUUAGAAUGCCCAGUCAUGGAGACUGUUCUAAGAAUAAACUAUA